Molecule: ribosomal RNA, 437 nt
Filed under: uncultured bacterium
Lineage: Bacteria
Description: bacterial SSU rRNA
Rfam family: Bacterial small subunit ribosomal RNA
Source: RNAcentral
GACGAACGCUGGCGGCGUGCCUAAUACAUGCAAGUCGAACGCACUUUCGUUAGAUUGAAGAAGCUUGCUUCUGAUUGAUAACAUUUGAGUGAGUGGCGGACGGGUGAGUAACACGUGGGUAACCUGCCCUAAAGUGGGGGAUAACAUUUGGAAACAGAUGCUAAUACCGCAUAAAACCUAGCACCGCAUGGUGCAAGGUUGAAAGAUGGUUUCGGCUAUCACUUUAGGAUGGACCCGCGGUGCAUUAGUUAGUUGGUGAGGUAAAGGCUCACCAAGACCGUGAUGCAUAGCCGACCUGAGAGGGUAAUCGGCCACACUGGGACUGAGACACGGCCCAGACUCCUACGGGAGGCAGCAGUAGGGAAUCUUCCACAAUGACGAAAGUCUGAUGGAGCAACGCCGCGUGAGUGAAGAAGGUUUUCGGAUCGUAAAACUCU